AUGCAGAGAUGGAUGCCAGUGGAGGUGUUUUGGCAUGGCUUUGGCGGAGCCUCGUUGCCAAGAGCGCAGGUCAGUGAGGCGUGGAGAGAACAUCCAAACAUGGCUUCUUUCCUCCACAGCCCUGGCAAGGCCAGCACCUCUGUUCUCUGCCCAAGCUACACAUGCUCCACAUUGGGAUCUGGACGCGCGGCCUGUGCGCUAACCGAAAAUCUGAUUUAUUGCCUUAAUGAUGCGAACAUUCAUUGAUGGAGUCAUGUGAAUUAUGGUGAUGCUUCUGUCAGUUGUUUGAACUCUCAUUCUGACGGCACCCAUUCACUCCAGAGGAUCCAUUGGUGAGUAACCAUACAUAAAUAUAAUAAAUGUACAUAUAUUAAAUUUCCUUAUAUUUAAAUUGUAUUUAUAUGAAUUAAAAAAAGAUAUGUGAAACCUAUUAUAUAUAUAUAUAUAUAUAUAUA
Molecule: long non-coding RNA, 455 nt
Organism: Cyprinus carpio carpio
Lineage: Eukaryota; Metazoa; Chordata; Actinopteri; Cypriniformes; Cyprinidae
Source: Ensembl